UUGAUACAGAACUCUUGCUUUGCAUUGGCCUAGAGAGAGGGAGGGCCCGAGUACCAAGAAAGCACGAUUUAAUUAUUUUUACAGUUCCAUGAAUUUUGAAUUCAUCUUCAAAACUUUCAACAACGGAUCUCUUGGCUCUCGCAUCGAUGGGGGAUGCAGCGAGAAGCGAUGAGCAAUCUGGAUUGCAGAUUGUCGUGAAUCAUCGAAUCUUGUGAACGCACAUUGCGCCCUCUGGAAUUCCAGAGGCAAUGCCUGUUUGAGCGCGAUUUCCGCCGCGAACCCCCGCGAUGCGUAUUCAGAGAGACCCGUAGUCGGACUAGGCGUUGGCUUGAAAAGAAUUGGGCAUAACUAGUACUGGAUAGUGCUGUGGACCGCUCAACGUAUGAGGUUUAUCAUACUCGUUGAAUGCCGAGGCGAGAGAUUUGUGGCAUUGUUGGCCCGUGCCUUAGAUUUUUCAAACGAGUUUGACCUCAAAUCAGGUAGAAACAGCGCUGAACUUAAGCAUAUACCGAGGGGAAAGAACAUACGGAUUCU
RNAcentral lists this ribosomal RNA (534 nucleotides) under Meyerozyma sp. CBDSL-3.1. Its description in RNAcentral is "eukaryotic LSU rRNA". The stretch from base 112 to 266 matches the Rfam family "5.8S ribosomal RNA". Lineage: Eukaryota; Fungi; Ascomycota; Pichiomycetes; Serinales; Debaryomycetaceae. The record is from RNAcentral.